AAUAGGAGAAUGAAAAAUCAGAUUUUUGUCCUGAUUUUCAGCUUUUUCCUUCUGAAAAAAAUUCAAAUUCAACUAAAAACGCUAAAAAUUAGGAGAAAAAUUUUGAUUUGUCAUUCUUCUAUC
This 123-nucleotide microRNA precursor is filed under the name Gossypium hirsutum (cotton). Its description in RNAcentral is "MIR7504 microRNA precursor family". It matches the Rfam family "MIR7504 microRNA precursor family". Lineage: Eukaryota; Viridiplantae; Streptophyta; Magnoliopsida; Malvales; Malvaceae. The record is from Rfam by way of RNAcentral.